This 201-nucleotide small RNA is filed under the name Marmota monax (woodchuck). Lineage: Eukaryota; Metazoa; Chordata; Mammalia; Rodentia; Sciuridae. The record is from RNAcentral.
UCUGGGCAUGGUGGCGCACGCCUGUGAUUCCAGCUACUUGGAGGCUGAGGUGGGAGGAUCAUGAGAUUAAGGCCAGUCUCAGCAACCUGGUACACGCCUGUAAUCCCAGGGGCUCGGGAGGCUGAGACAGGAGGAUUGCGAGUUCAAAGCCAGCCUCAGCGAUGGCGAGGCCCUAAGCAACUCAGUGAAACCCCGUCUCUA